GCUCCCCAGCCUCGCCCCACUCUGCCCCUCCCCCCACAAACAUCCUCCCCUGAGCUACUCCUUCUGGGGAACUGCAGCAGGGAUCCAGCCCGCCCUUCACUCACGGGGCGGCAGGAAGUGGAGCAACCUGGUCCCAACCUGCUCUGUUCCGCUCCGCAGGCUCCCAGACGCACCGUUGGCUCUUCUCUACCAUGUGACGUUACAGCGAACAUGUCUGUCAGGCAGAGCCCGACGCAGACAGAGAUCUAUCUACCAUGGUCUGCAGCUGUUUCUCUGGAGUUCGAGUCCCCUAAAGACUUCAAGUUUCACAUUACCGGUGGCAGGCGCCGACUCUGGGUGCUUCGAGACUGGAGGAUCCACGAAAAAAAAUAAUGGAGAGAAGAAAGAAAGAUCAUCAAUAACAGACAACAACUGCCUACUCAGGAAAGAACACUUUAACUCAUCCUCGUAGUUAGCGAGACCAAUCACUUUGAAAACAUCCACCCACGGCUAUAGUCUAACGUCUAAAGCGCCUAUAUUUCGUGGUUACAGUGUGUAAUUUAAUACAUCAAAUCUAACUAUGAUCACAGAGACAGUGAGACUGACAAACAGUACACUGUGUGCAUGUCUCAUUGUAGCACCUAAAAUAUAUGAAAAAAAUAUUAAUGCCCUCUUUAGCUUCUGUUACAAAUAAACGUUUUCCCGAAUUUCACCAAUCACUUCUUCUAAUUAACAGAGGAACACCGCUUCAGCCAAUCAGAUAUUUCUUCCAUAGCUCAUACAUAGAGGCGGGACUACAACUGGAACUGGCUACGUAGGAAGGACGCAUCGGAACAGUUACGCAAAAGCAGCACGCAUUGCAAGAGACGAAGGUGCUGACGUGCUUCAGAAGCGAUGUAGACAGUAAGCAAUCCGCUCUUAAAGCAAUGACGUCUGUUCCCCAGAGAUUCCUGUUAGUCUCUCCUCCCAUUAGGUACUGUUUUCUUAACAUUGGCCCGUCUGCUUACCACCCCGCACUCCGAAUUCACUGGCAAUAAUAGACCAUAUAUUAUCAACUUGGUGGUUUGCUUUUCGAGCCUCUCUACCUUUGCCGUUAAGGCGGAUCUACACAUGUCUACAGUUAUGUUUCUCAAGUUCACGGAAGCCACUAAAACUGGUAUUGGGGUGAAUAAACUCCGUUUUUCCCCUAUGCAACUCUCUUCCUAGUUCAAGAGCUGUACACUAUUUGGAUACGGUACGACUGUAAACAUCCAGUAUUAGGAACGUCACAUUUUGGAUAGAAAAUAUAGCAGCAAUGUUUUUAUAUAUAUAUAUAAUUGCAAAAAUAAAGAGAUGUCAAGUAUUAGAA
Long non-coding RNA from Chrysemys picta bellii (western painted turtle), 1327 nucleotides. RefSeq lists it as uncharacterized. The record is from RefSeq and is a predicted model, not a curated record. NCBI's taxonomy places the organism in Eukaryota, Metazoa, Chordata, Testudines, Emydidae.